UACGUAGGUGACCAGCGUUGUCCGGAUUUACUGGGCGUAAAGAGCGCGCAGGCGGUCGUUUAAGUCGAGUGUGAAAGCCCCCGGCUCAACUGGGGAGGGUCAUUCGAUACUGAUCGACUUGAAGGCAGGAGAGGGAAGCGGAAUUCCCGGUGUAGUGGUGAAAUGCGUAGAUAUCGGGAGGAACACCAGUGGCGAAGGCGGCUUCCUGGCCUGUUCUUGACGCUGAGGCGCGAAAGCUAGGGGAGCAAACGGG
This 253-nucleotide ribosomal RNA is filed under the name uncultured bacterium. Its description in RNAcentral is "partial 16S ribosomal RNA". It matches the Rfam family "Bacterial small subunit ribosomal RNA", at positions 524 to 776 of the family's 1533-position model. The record is from RNAcentral.